RNAcentral lists this ribosomal RNA (469 nucleotides) under uncultured bacterium. RNAcentral's name for it is "bacterial SSU rRNA". It matches the Rfam family "Bacterial small subunit ribosomal RNA", at positions 331 to 792 of the family's 1533-position model. The record is from RNAcentral.
CUAGACUCCUACGGGAGGCAGCAGUGGGGAAUAUUGCACAAUGGGGGAAACCCUGAUGCAGCGACGCCGCGUGAGUGAAGAAGGUUUUCGGAUCGUAAAACUCUGUUGGUAGAGAAGAACGUUGGUGAGAGUGGAAAGCUCAUCAAGUGACGGUAACUACCCAGAAAGGGACGGCUAACUACGUGCCAGCAGCCGCGGUAAUACGUAGGAUGCGAGCGUUAUCCGGAUUUAUUGGGUUUAAAGGGUGCGUAGGCGGAAUGCCAAGUCAGCGGUAAAAUCGCGGGGCUCAACCUCGCUCCGCCGUUGAAACUGGCGUUCUUGAGUGGGCGAGAAGUAUGCGGAAUGCGUGGUGUAGCGGUGAAAUGCAUAGAUAUCACGCAGAACUCCGAUUGCGAAGGCAGCAUACCGGCGCCCAACUGGCGCUGAAGCACGAAAGCGUGGGUAUCGAACAGGAUUAGAUACCCUCGUA